RNAcentral lists this transfer RNA (77 nucleotides) under Candidatus Woesebacteria bacterium RBG_16_40_11. Its description in RNAcentral is "tRNA-Glu". It matches the Rfam family "tRNA". Rfam says of the family: Transfer RNA (tRNA) molecules are approximately 80 nucleotides in length. Their secondary structure includes four short double-helical elements and three loops (D, anti-codon, and T loops). The record is from RNAcentral. RNAcentral also lists the same sequence under 3 other names. Lineage: Bacteria; Candidatus Woeseibacteriota.
GGCCCCAUCGUCUAGUGGACUAGGACGUCGGGCUUUCAUCCCGAAAAUCCUGGGUUCGAAUCCCAGUGGGGUCACCC